Molecule: long non-coding RNA, 627 nt
Filed under: Trifolium pratense (red clover)
Lineage: Eukaryota; Viridiplantae; Streptophyta; Magnoliopsida; Fabales; Fabaceae
Description: long non-coding RNA (TPRA_LNC006510)
Source: RNAcentral
UUUACAGUUCCAUUCCCAUUCCUUUGAAACCGUUACCAGUAGGCUAAUCCAACACAAGUCACACUGCAUUUUGCAUUUGCAAAAUCACUUCAUAUUGUUGUUGCGAAUAGCAUUUAGGGACUAGGGUCAUCAACAAUAGAUACCAUCCAAGCCUUAAAUUAUGAAUAAAAUUUCAUAUUAAAAUUGCAUUUUAGGCAACAACUAGCUUUCGAAUUAAGGCAUCAUCCAACGUUUUUGGGCCAUAGUGGGCACAUGUAUACCACACCACNNNNNNNNNNNNNNNNNNNNNNNNNNGAGAAUAGAUACCAUUACCAUCCCUUAAAUCAUAUGACUACAAUUUCGUAUGAAAAUUGCAUUGAAGGCCAUCAUCCAACUUUUGCAUUAUGAACAAAUAGUUCAAAAUGCAUUUUACUCGAAGGUCAUUGAGACAUCCAUCCCUUAAAACAUUUAAAAUAAAGUAAAUCCAUCGAUUCCAACGGUCAGAUUUUUUUUUCCUCUGGCAGAAGAUUGAAUGUUCUUGAGUAUCCAAGAAUGAGAAAAAAUGGGCAAGGUUCUACCUUUUUUCUUUUCUCAAGCAGAAGAUUGAAUAUUCUUGGAUAAUCAAGAAUGAGAAAAAAUGGGUAAAGG